UCACUCUGGACAGUGCAAACCUGUUAGUGACAGAAUAGCAGAAAGGAAGGGGCGGGGAUUUAGACACGAAGGCAGCACCUUCAUUGGACAUAGCUUUCUGUGGGGGAGGGAGCAUUUUCUUCCUCUCAAAAACAAAAGAAAUGACUAGGACUCAGCUUUCCCUGGGAAACUCUCUGAGGGUCUGGCAUCAGCAACAAGGAAGGGGGGCAAAUAGAUCGUGUGGAAAGUGGUCACAGAAUCAGAAGAUGACUGCCUUGGGGUGGCGAAUUGCGCUUCAGGCUUCUGUGGAGUUUUGUGAGUAUUCGAUAAAAUGGCUUACCCACGGGAUUGGAACAAAGUCUGUAUCUUCUGUGGAUGGGAAGAAGGAGCCUAACCACAGCUGGUCACUGGGAGGCAACGGGCACGUGUGUGGUGCCCUCUGAAGCCCUAGGUUCUCUGCCGUAUAAAAGUGCCUACAGCUUUAACGGCACUGCUCAAGUAGCUACGAUGAGGCCGGCGAUCGCCCAGCUGCUUCUGCCUCACGAACCGCAGCUCUAAAGAGGCAUCCUCCAAAAUGGGACUACAAUUUUCACCUUAUGCUAGGGAUGCCCUGAACCUGGCACGCACGAUGCCCUAGGCCAGAUCUGUGGCUCAAUGCUUCAAGAGACAGGGUGACGAAGAGUUCGGAACUCCUUCUGCGCGACGCUUUCAGGCCGCUUGUAGAAUGAAUUUGGGUGGCUGUUAGCAGCACCACAUAAUGGAAAGUUUUAUUUGUUCCCCGGUAUUUGGCAAAAUUUGCAGCCCCUCCUGGCCCCUGUAUCCAUUAGUACCUAAUGGCAUCUAUCACAGCAUUAAAUAUCCCAUUAGCAUGG
Rattus norvegicus (Norway rat) is the source of this 851-nucleotide non-coding RNA. Lineage: Eukaryota; Metazoa; Chordata; Mammalia; Rodentia; Muridae. The record is from RefSeq and is a predicted model, not a curated record.